CAGGGCCGUGACGCUCAGUGCUGCAUAGCUGGUUUUCAGUCCCGGGCUGCUGUUGGAGCUGUCGUCAUUGCAGAGCAUUUCUGCAGCCAACCAUUGGAGACAUCGGAGGGACAGCAAAAACUCAGAAUGGGCAUACUCCAUCCCAGCCCCAAAGGGACACGUUGGCAACCUAGGUGAAGGCUGUUGGCUCAGAUCGUUGUCUGGACUUGUGCUGCCUUGCACCAUGUGGUUGUCCUUCACACCUUUGCCUUAUGAAGGAACAUGUCCGUCCCCUCUGUCCCAGCCAGUGCUGGGGUAGCGUGUGAGCAAGGAAAGGUGACAAGCGAACACCCCUAGGGCUGAACGGCUGCCACACUCUGCACUGCUCUCUGCUAGGCGCCAGAGCUCUUCCCAUCAGGAAUGCAUAUCCCCUUUCCUCACUCACCCACCCCUCAGGACUUUCUGCUCCAUUGGCCUUCCUAAAUACAUAAAAGCACCAUUUCCCCUACUUUGGGAAUACCGGGUCUUUCUACAUUGCAGUCUUUCCCCUCACCUCCCAGGAAUUUCCUGGGAAUCCCUACAGCGUCUGGAAUGUGGCGGUCUUACCCAACUCCAUGUAUGCCAGGCCAAGCAGCAAACCAAACAGAAGGGUCUUCAUGCUGAGAGCAGAUCCGUGCACCCUGGACAAUACAGGAGAGCUGUGCCUGGGUAGCUUUAUAUGCCCUUCAUCCUCCACCUUCUUUUGAUCCUGUGGGCGGAUUCCCUUGGGUUGAUCACGGGAGAGCCCAGCUCCAGGCUGGAUUGGGAACUGCAGUGAAACAAGUUCCCUGUCUGUGGAGGAGAUGACGUCACUGUGACAAGCAGACUCCUGCCAUACCUCAUCUCUCCUCUUCAGGUUUAUGUCCUGGGGCUGCUUUCAUGCAAAACGCAAAACAAUGCCUUGCAAUACAAGGGACGGCCCUGUGCCGCUUCUUGGAUGGGGAGUGUGACAAGGUAUGUUUGUUCCUUCAAGUCUGGCUUUGCGAGCCGAAAACUAGAUUACAUCAUGUGUGUGUUGUGUUGGGUAACGCCAGGCAAAAUGCAUGUGGCAGCAGGCUGGGCUUCCACCUGCAUUGGCUCAGCGUCAUCAAGGCCUGUGCCAUGCCUUCAUGUUCACUGCUCCCUGGGCUGGCAGGUGGAAAGCUGGCUGCAGCUGGAUCUGCGCAAAGCAUGUCUAUAUUCCUACCUCCAGUGCAGAUAUAACUAGACUGGGACCCAUUUGCCUUAAUAAAUUUAAGAAAGCUUCA
Long non-coding RNA from Dromaius novaehollandiae (emu), 1265 nucleotides. RefSeq lists it as uncharacterized. The record is from RefSeq and is a predicted model, not a curated record. The transcript is spliced from 2 exons. Lineage: Eukaryota; Metazoa; Chordata; Aves; Casuariiformes; Dromaiidae.